CAGUAGCCGCGGGAAUACGGAGGGUGCAAGCGUUAUCCGGAUUUAUUGGGUUUAAAGGGUCCGUAGGCGGACUUAUAAGUCAGUGGUGAAAGCCUGUCGCUUAACGAUAGAACUGCCAUUGAUACUGUAAGUCUUGAGUAUAUUUGAGGUAGCUGGAAUAAGUAGUGUAGCGGUGAAAUGCAUAGAUAUUACUUAGAACACCAAUUGCGAAGGCAGGUUACCAAGAUAUAACUGACGCUGAGGGACGAAAGCGUGGGUAGCGAACAGGAUUAGAUACCCGCGUAGUCCCUGUCUCUUAUAA
Molecule: ribosomal RNA, 301 nt
Filed under: uncultured bacterium
Lineage: Bacteria
Description: partial 16S ribosomal RNA
Rfam family: Bacterial small subunit ribosomal RNA
Source: RNAcentral